This 1098-nucleotide long non-coding RNA is filed under the name Medicago truncatula (barrel medic). RNAcentral describes it as "long non-coding RNA (MTRU_LNC001713)". Lineage: Eukaryota; Viridiplantae; Streptophyta; Magnoliopsida; Fabales; Fabaceae. The record is from RNAcentral.
CCCUUGUCACUUACAAGAAAUUUUUUACUAUAAUCACACAAGAUUACAAUUGCUUAAGCACACAAGAAAGACACUUCUAACAAAUGUUUGGUUGAACACUUGAUAUACGGUCAGAGGUGUUCAGAAAUACAAAACAGUUCAGACUCUAAACUAAAGAAUUUCUAAGAUAUAAAAGUUUAUAAGAAAUUCUAAGUGUUUAAUGUGUGAUGAAUUUGACAGAGUUUUGGCACUUGUAAGAAUAUUGUAGAGUCUUGUUUUGUCUUCAACUCUUUAAUCUUUUAUGUAGAGGUUGAAAAAAGACGUUGAAGAGUGGUAGCACAUCAAAGAGUCAUUUGAGAAGCUUGAUCAUUCAACAUUAAUUUGGUUAAUGUCCUAUGAAGGAAUAUAUUUGAAUCCUUUCCUUGAUAAGGAAUUAACCGUUUUUCCAAUGGAGACACAAAUGUAGCUUCGUACAAUGCACAUGGAAAUGUUGGAGGUGGUGGAGUAGUGGUCGUACAUUGUUGUCCUUCUUUGUACCUUCACGUAAAAUGGAAUCCAUUGACCUUCUGAUAUCUUCAGAACCAUUGUGCUUGAUCUUCAAAGUAAUUCAGACUUGAUAUCCAAAGCUUCUACUUCUUUGUCCUUUAGCUUGUCCAGAUCCUUGAAGAAUAAACCGUAGGAUAAAAGUAGGCACUUAUAAAAGUAGGAAGUUUCAGGUUUGAAUUCCUUCCUUCAUUACUCUUUUCAUUGGCACUUAUCAACACUUCAUUGUUAUUGUUGUUAUUUUUUUGUUGUUGUAGUUAUUAUUACUAUAGUAGUAUAGCAUCAUAGGCAAGAUUGAAAGCCAAUUGGAAGAAAAUGGACACGAGCUAUAAUAUGUAGUAUCAUGAAGCAGUAAAUAAUGUGGUUUUGGUGUACAAAUAAUAAACUAAUUGGAUUUCAUCCCAUACAACACAAAUCCAAAUGAGAGGGGAAGGAAAAUGAGAUUCGUGGAUGGAAUGGAACCCAUCAUAUACCACUCAAUGGAAUCACAUUUCACACCACUUUAUUCCACUCUUAUAUCCUAAGUAUUUAUUUUUGUUAUAUUUGGACUCAAAUGAUUCAUUAAAUUCACCCGAA